Molecule: ribosomal RNA, 457 nt
Filed under: uncultured Sphingobacteriales bacterium
Lineage: Bacteria; Pseudomonadati; Bacteroidota; Sphingobacteriia; Sphingobacteriales
Description: bacterial SSU rRNA
Rfam family: Bacterial small subunit ribosomal RNA
Source: RNAcentral
GCACAAGCGGUGGAGCAUGUGGUUUAAUUCGAUGAUACGCGAGGAACCUUACCUGGGCUCAAAUGUAUGUUGACGUAUUCUGAAAGGGAUACUUCUUCGGACAAUAUACAAGGUGCUGCAUGGUUGUCGUCAGCUCGUGCCGUGAGGUGUCGGGUUAAGUCCCAUAACGAGCGCAACCCCUAUCAUUAGUUGCCAUCAGGUCAAGCUGGGGACUCUAAUGAAACUGCCUACGCAAGUAGUGAGGAAGGUGGGGAUGACGUCAAAUCAUCAUGCCCCUUAUGAUCUGGGCUACACACGUGCUACAAUGGCCGGUACAACGGGCAGCGAAGGAGCGAUCCGGAGCGAAUCCUAAAAAGCCGGUCCCAGUUCGGAUUGCAGGCUGAAACUCGCCUACAUGAAGUUGGAGUUGCUAGUAAUCGCGAAUCAGAAUGUCGCGGUGAAUGCGUUCCCGGGUCUU